GAUCGGCCUAUCCUUCGGGGAUACUAAGCGGCGGACGGGUGAGUACACGUAUGCACCUGCCUGUAAGAUCGGGAUAACUCACGGAAACGUGUGCUAAUACCGGAUAAAUAAUCUUCUCGCAUGAUGGGGUUAUGAAAGACGGAGCAAUCUGUCACUUACAGAUGGGCCUGCGGCGCAUAAGCUAGUUGGUGGGGUAAAGGCCUACCAAGGCGACGAUGCUUAUCCGACCUGAUAUGGUGAACGGCCACUCUGGGACUGAGACACGGUCCAUACUCCUACGGGAGGCAGCAGUAUGGAAUCUUCCGCAAUGGACGAAAGUCUGACGGAUCAACGCCGCGUGAGUGAUGAAUGUUUUCGGAUCGUAAAGCUCUGUUGCCAGUGAAGAACGCUUGGAGGAGUAACUGCCUUCAAUGUGACGGUACCUGAGAAGAAAGCCCCGGCUAACUACGUGCCAUCAGCCGCGGUAAU
RNAcentral lists this ribosomal RNA (468 nucleotides) under uncultured bacterium. RNAcentral describes it as "bacterial SSU rRNA". It matches the Rfam family "Bacterial small subunit ribosomal RNA", at positions 64 to 524 of the family's 1533-position model. The record is from RNAcentral.